RNAcentral lists this ribosomal RNA (577 nucleotides) under Rhodotorula mucilaginosa. Its description in RNAcentral is "eukaryotic LSU rRNA". The stretch from base 165 to 318 matches the Rfam family "5.8S ribosomal RNA". The record is from RNAcentral. Lineage: Eukaryota; Fungi; Basidiomycota; Microbotryomycetes; Sporidiobolales; Sporidiobolaceae.
AAGGAUCAUUAGUGAAUAUAGGACGUCCAACUUAACUUGGAGUCCGAACUCUCACUUUCUAACCCUGUGCACUUGUUUGGGAUAGUAACUCUCGCAAGAGAGCGAACUCCUAUUCACUUAUAAACACAAAGUCUAUGAAUGUAUUAAAUUUUAUAACAAAAUAAAACUUUCAACAACGGAUCUCUUGGCUCUCGCAUCGAUGAAGAACGCAGCGAAAUGCGAUAAGUAAUGUGAAUUGCAGAAUUCAGUGAAUCAUCGAAUCUUUGAACGCACCUUGCGCUCCAUGGUAUUCCGUGGAGCAUGCCUGUUUGAGUGUCAUGAAUACUUCAACCCUCCUCUUUCUUAAUGAUUGAAGAGGUGUUUGGUUUCUGAGCGCUGCUGGCCUUUACGGUCUAGCUCGUUCGUAAUGCAUUAGCAUCCGCAAUCGAACUUCGGAUUGACUUGGCGUAAUAGACUAUUCGCUGAGGAAUUCUAGUCUUCGGAUUAGAGCCGGGUUGGGUUAAAGGAAGCUUCUAAUCAGAAUGUCUACAUUUUAAGAUUAGAUCUCAAAUCAGGUAGGACUACCCGCUGAACUUAA